AAGGGCUAUGAAGGUGACUAAGAGAUGGAGGAAACAAAAUAACGUGAAAGGUAUCACAUGUAUAGGAAGAACAAAAGAAACUUCCCAUGCAGGCAUGCAGGAAAGAGAGGAGAAACAGCUGCUUACACGCCUUCUGCAGUGAGAAACUGAGAGCUGGCAUCACCUUCAGAUCUACCUGAGAAGGUCCAUCUGCACGCCUGGGGCUCAAAAUCAGGCCAAGCUCAGCACCCACAAGAGAAAGCUGCUGCCCUACCACUGUGACCUGUCAAAGCCCCAGCCCAAAACUCAGCCCCCACAGCUCCAACAGUCAAAUCUCAUUUGGGAAGGGAUGUGUCAAAAUCCAGCACUUCUCCAUUUGCCUGAACGCUGACCCACUGCCUACAGUCUUUACUAACAGCACGUGGCCUGCCAUUUUGACAUAAAAGUAAAGUUUCAAUGUGUGUUUUACUGCC
This is a long non-coding RNA of Pipra filicauda (Wire-tailed manakin), 452 nucleotides long. RefSeq lists it as uncharacterized. The transcript has 3 exons. Lineage: Eukaryota; Metazoa; Chordata; Aves; Passeriformes; Pipridae. The record is from RefSeq and is a predicted model, not a curated record.